GUCGGAGCCCCCGUCGUCGUCGUAGCUUCAUUCCAUCAACGCAGGCACAGCAACAUUUCCGGAAAUUCUCUCUAAUUGCAUCAGCAAAUCAUCUCCCGGCGCAGAAAUAAAGCUAGACGAGCAACGCAUGAAUGUGGUGAAACAUCAAAAAAAAAUACCACAAGUCGACCAGGGAAGUGUGAUCCAAUUGACCAGGAUGCAACAAGAUGUACUCGAGAUAAAAUUCCCCAAAAUGUCGUUGUGAAUUUUGGCUUGGAGAAGAUGAAAUCCAAAGUGGAGACAAGAGCCAUCAAGUAUAUUGCUGCUGCUAGUGCUGCAGUUGCUGAAGUAAUGAGAAAGGAAGAGAAUGGCAAUAAUAAAGCAGAUGGGGUGGUAAAAAUGUUUUGUUUGCCAAUAAAAAAAGGUACAGCGCAAUGGACGCGACAAGGAAUGCAAGAAACGUGGCUGUCUGUCCAGAAGCAGCAAAAUUAGUGGUAUGUGAAUCUCCAUUUAUCGUGUUGAUGAGCUCAUCAAGUGACUCCUCGUCAGGCUCCAGCAAGGGAAUUGAGCGAAGCCCAAAAAUAUCACCAGAAUCUUCCUACAGAAAGAAUCUCAUUAAGACGGCAAAAGAUGGUAAGGAUGGAAAGCGUUCGAGGAAGUGUGAACGAUCACGUCGUCGUAGUGUUGAUAAGGAUGAUAGGGCAUACAGGAAGUCACCGGAUAAGCCAUCACGUGAUGCACGCAAUUGCUCACGCUCGGGAUCGCCUCGCAGUAAGCAUUGAAAGCCAUGAACGACACUCAUUCACAUUGGACGAGUCACGCGCAAUCUAAUCAAAGACCACGUCGUGGAGAUCUUCAAUGUGUACAGGGGGGAUAUUGAAUUCCCUCUUGAGAGGACCAUAACACCAGCCGGAGAUUCUUCUCUGUGGAAUACAACAGCCUCGCUGAUGCUACGAAUGCCAUGGAUGAGGGGUAAAUUGACGGGCAGGAGAUUACAGCUGCUCACGUGCUUGUGCCCACGCAGACUCCCACCUCAGAUCAUCACCAAUUCGCAACAAUCGCGGUGGAGGUCCACGAUGACGCAAAAAAUGCCCCGAUGCGCUUCUGUCGUCAUUCCCUCAUACGUCGGAUCCCCCGUCGUCGUCGUCGUAGCUCCAUUCCAUCGACGCAGGCAUAGCAACAUUUCCUGAAAUUCUCGCUAAUUGCAUCAGCAAAUCAUCUCCCGGCGCAGAAAUAAAGCUAGACGAGCAACAGAAAGAUUAGCAAUCAUUGAAAUCUCGAGAACGUCAAUGAGGAACUUGUGGAUCAAUACUUCGAUAAGACUGAUAACAUUUGGAGCAUGGAGAAUAAGUUCGUGAGCUGGACAGUAAGAUCAACGACAAAAUGCCCAUGGAGAGUUCGGUACUGUCGAAAUUGCAGCCUCAGGUGCAGGAUCUGAUAAAGCUUAUCUUAUAUAUUAAUUCCAUGAAAAAAAUGUAUGCUAAAAGUUUAAAAAGAUUAAAUAAAAAUGUUCUUUCAAUUA
Molecule: RNA transcript, 1501 nt
Organism: Lutzomyia longipalpis
Lineage: Eukaryota; Metazoa; Arthropoda; Insecta; Diptera; Psychodidae
Exons: 4
Source: RefSeq, a predicted model, not a curated record